RNAcentral lists this transfer RNA (75 nucleotides) under Priestia megaterium. RNAcentral describes it as "Bacillus megaterium tRNA-Met". It matches the Rfam family "tRNA". From Rfam's summary of the family: Transfer RNA (tRNA) molecules are approximately 80 nucleotides in length. Their secondary structure includes four short double-helical elements and three loops (D, anti-codon, and T loops). RNAcentral also lists the same sequence under 1 other name. Lineage: Bacteria; Bacillati; Bacillota; Bacilli; Caryophanales; Bacillaceae. The record is from RNAcentral.
AGUGAGGUGAAAGUAUGGUAGCUCGUCGGGCUCAUAACCCGAAGGUCGCAGGUUCAAAUCCUGCCCCCGCAACCA